This 75-nucleotide transfer RNA is filed under the name Candidatus Nomurabacteria bacterium. RNAcentral's name for it is "tRNA-Glu". It matches the Rfam family "tRNA". Rfam says of the family: Transfer RNA (tRNA) molecules are approximately 80 nucleotides in length. Their secondary structure includes four short double-helical elements and three loops (D, anti-codon, and T loops). Further hydrogen bonds mediate the characteristic L-shaped molecular structure. tRNAs have two regions of fundamental functional importance: the anti-codon, which is responsible for specific mRNA codon recognition, and the 3' end, to which the tRNAs corresponding amino acid is attached (by aminoacyl-tRNA synthetases). tRNAs cope with the degeneracy of the genetic code in two manners: having more than one tRNA (with a specific anti-codon) for a particular amino acid; and 'wobble' base-pairing, i.e. permitting non-standard base-pairing at the 3rd anti-codon position. The record is from RNAcentral. Lineage: Bacteria; Candidatus Nomuraibacteriota.
GGUCCCAUCGUCUAGUGGUUAGGACAUCAGGUUUUCAUCCUGACAACAGGAGUUCGAUUCUCCUUGGGAUCACCA